UGAAAUUAUAGCAUACGUAAAUUGUAAAGUCACGUGUAUGACAGCAUCGAAGCACUUCUCUUCUAAACGUGUCAAAGAGAGGAAGAGACCUGCUUAACACACUGUAGUUUUGUUGUUUCGUAUAUUGCAAGUUGAGUCUCAUGUACAGCAAGAAAGUGUCUUUCAUCCUUGUCAAAUUGGACAUGAGUCUCCGAUAGUUCUGAAGGUAACCAACCGGAGGAAAUCUCUAAAAAUGUGUUGUUCUUUUUCUCCCACGUGAUUGAAUCCCAUACAACAAUCUGCAGAAUAAUGGAGGAAAAAUAGAUUAUUUAAAUAUGUUUACGACAACAAUCUUAAAGUUGGCAACCUCGAAAAAGUCGAUCAAUUGUAUCUCUCUACGUCAAGAUUGAUUUUAUUUUCAAACUUGGAAAAUGUAGUAUUCAUAGAACUGUAUGGUAUAAUAAACAAGAUUUUAGUUUCUUUUUUCUUAGUUCAUACAAUCUAGUACUAUACAAUUCUCCCUACCAAGCAAGCCAAUAGCGUCUAAAUAAUAUAUAUUUGACAACCUGAGUUCAUUUAAGCUGGUAAAUAAAUUAUUAUACUUGAAAACAUUUAUUGAUUCACAUUCAAAGGAGGAAUCUGGCUGUCCUUCUGCACGAUCAACCAAUAGAAUAUAUAGAAUACCAACCUGAGCAUCCAAUCCAGAAGAGACAAGUACAUUUAACACGGUUGAGAAAGAAAGGCUGCUAAUUCUCUUAGAAUGGCCCUUAAGCUUAUUUGUCAACUGCAAAAUGAAGGCAAUGGCUAAAUGCUGCACAUUUCUUCUUAAUCUUUCUAACUCUAAUAUAAGUGAAUGUUGGACACAUAUAUCAUACCUCGUCCACACGGACAUUAUAGAUGAGAAUUGUUGAAUCAUCCAUACCAAUAGCGAUUAUGUUGUUAUCAGGCGGAUAGAAAACAAUACAUGUUGCUGCAGGUGGGGAUUGCAUGAAACUUCUCAUUCUCUACAGUAAUCGAGCAAAUUGGAAAUGGUAGGUUAGUUAUUUCUAUAUGUCGAGCAUCCUAAAGUUCAAUGAUAUGAGAGCUCUAAGUUAGGUGCUACCCUGUGAAUUGAACAUAGAACAUUUUGCCAAUCUUUCACAAGCAUCCAAAGCAGCUACAACUUUUAGUAUUACCUUAAAAAUCAACAUGUUGAACAAAGAAACCAUCUUUCCAGAUGCUGAGACAACAUAAGAAUCAUUCUUGGACAAACAAAAGCACGGUGAGACUAAGUCGAUGUUACUUUCGGGAAGGUCAUUGAUCAUCAGCAACCCACUCUUUGGUUGCCACAGUUGAGGGACACACUUUGUAGUUGCCUGUUGCAGCAAAUACUCAGUUACUCUUUAAACAAUGACUGGCUGAUCAAAUCGAAGAUACAUAUAUACAAGCACUUGCAUAGGUGCAGAGAGAGAGAGAGAGAGAGAGAGGCUCAAAAUGCAUUCCAUUACAGCAAAACAGUUGAAUUUGAAUCUAUCCAAACUCAAAUCUCUUUAUACCAUUUUUUCUCACCAACUCCAACGUUUGUGUCUACACAACCAGUUCUUGAAUGCAUGCUCAAUUUCUUGAUAUCUUCAGACGUGUUCGGUGCAAGUACCUUUUUUCUCUCGCUAAACCUGUCCAAUAUUGUCUAAUCCAGCCUACCAAACAUGCCCUCAAUUUUCGAUCUGGAGGGGCGCAGUCCAUGUACUUUCAGAUUCCAUGGGUUCAAUGAUGACGACUCCACCAUCCGAUAACCCUAAGGCAAACUGGUUUGCCUUUUGUGGAUGAGCGGCAACCACCAGUGGAUAUACACGAGUUCUGCAUCCACCAUAACAAAAAUCAAAUUAAGCACCCUUGACAUGAGUGAAUGUCACACACACACAAAGUUGGAUCACUGAUGCUGAAGAACAUGAAUUCUGCCAGAAUUUAUGACAAAUUGGCGAAGUAAAUUACACUUUUUGCUCGUUGUCAAGAAAGGUAAAAAUGCAGUUAAGCUCCAUUUCGUUUUAGAUUUAUAAAAAAUAAAAUUCAGGAAAAUAUGUAUUGGUAUAGAAGGAUUUUGUCCAGACUUUCCAUCCCCUUUAACAGAACUAGAUAGUCCUUUUGUCCGAAAUUGCCAAAACUAAUUAAUUUUCUUGAGACAUUUUUGUCAGCGAGACUUUACUAUGGACACGUGCAGUUUUGCAAACAUUGACUGGAGAAAGAGAUGUGACUAAAAACCAUGAAUAAUGCAACUAAAUCAUUGAUACAGAAUUGAUUUUUUUAUAAAUUGUUGGUUGGGUCAAACGGAUUCAACUAUCAAGUACCUGAUAUGCUGUGGAAGGUAAGCAGAGGGAUCAAUCUCAAAUCUUGGAACGAGAUCUGAAGCACCGAGUAUCAGAACAAUUCCAUCCCUCAUGACAGUGUAUAACAAUUCAGCAUCACAAGAAAAUGCAGCAUGGGCAAUCCGUGCACAGAAGUUUCCAACGACCCACUGAAAUUAUAGCAUACGUAAAUUGUAAAGUCACGUGUAUGACAGCAUCGAAGCACUUCUCUUCUAAACGUGUCAAAGAGAGGAAGAGACCUGCUUAACACACUGUAGUUUUGUUGUUUCGUAUAUUGCAAGUUGAGUCUCAUGUACAGCAAGAAAGUGUCUUUCAUCCUUGUCAAAUUGGACAUGAGUCUCCGAUAGUUCUGAAGGUAACCAACCGGAGGAAAUCUCUAAAAAUGUGUUGUUCUUUUUCUCCCACGUGAUUGAAUCCCAUACAACAAUCUGCAGAAUAAUGGAGGAAAAAUAGAUUAUUUAAAUAUGUUUACGACAACAAUCUUAAAGUUGGCAACCUCGAAAAAGUCGAUCAAUUGUAUCUCUCUACGUCAAGAUUGAUUUUAUUUUCAAACUUGGAAAAUGUAGUAUUCAUAGAACUGUAUGGUAUAAUAAACAAGAUUUUAGUUUCUUUUUUCUUAGUUCAUACAAUCUAGUACUAUACAAUUCUCCCUACCAAGCAAGCCAAUAGCGUCUAAAUAAUAUAUAUUUGACAACCUGAGUUCAUUUAAGCUGGUAAAUAAAUUAUUAUACUUGAAAACAUUUAUUGAUUCACAUUCAAAGGAGGAAUCUGGCUGUCCU
RNAcentral lists this long non-coding RNA (3100 nucleotides) under Olea europaea (common olive). RNAcentral's name for it is "long non-coding RNA (OEUR_LNC005118)". The record is from RNAcentral. Lineage: Eukaryota; Viridiplantae; Streptophyta; Magnoliopsida; Lamiales; Oleaceae.